UUCUCGGCCUAGGACCGCCUGCGGGCACCCGUACCUCUAGAGAUCCCACGAGACCAGGCAUCCUCUCGGGAGUGUGGUUGCGGCGCAGCUCCCGCGUGCGCAAGCCGCCUGUUUGUCGCUAAGCCUUCGCGGCUGUUCCAGGGCUCUCACGACCAGCACGUUACAAUGAAAGGUGUAACUCAGAUAUUUGAAAUACCAUAUCCUUCCAGAAAUCGCAUUGGAAGCUUUGUGGUGCCCUCAAUGUCAGUGUGUUCCCUGAACUGAUAAAAGGUCACACGGAAGACGCUCUAACAACUGAAAAUACAGCUUUUUUUUUGUUUUGUUUUCGGGGGUGACCAGAAGUGCUUCGUCAGGACUGUACUUUUUCGUGUGGAACACCAGGCAGUCACUUGCCUCCUUGUUGGAAACAUGAUGAUUUGCUUCUUACUUGAGGUUGCAGAGGUCUUCAAAUAUUUAGUCUAUAUUUUGAAAGAUGUUUGCAUAGUGCACAAUGUUGGAAGAUACAGUGCCUUCCUUCAGAGGAAAAGACAAGUGUAUUUUCCCUCUAGUAUGAUGAAGAUGAUGUCUUCCUUCAGAGAAGAGGGAGAGAGAGAGAGACAGCGUGAGCAGGGG
Molecule: long non-coding RNA, 612 nt
Organism: Hyaena hyaena (striped hyena)
Lineage: Eukaryota; Metazoa; Chordata; Mammalia; Carnivora; Hyaenidae
Exons: 3
Source: RefSeq, a predicted model, not a curated record